CAUUUUUUUAUCUGUCAAUAUAAAUUUAAGACGAUCUCUGGUAGUUUUUUGUCUUACCAUACGCAUAAUAAUGAGGCCAAUUUGGAUAUUAAUCUUUUGUGUUAUUAGUAGCGUCAAUUGUAAAGUUUGUGAAAAAGGGUCACCAAAAGGUCAGUGUGGACUAGGACCGGGUGGUACGCAAUGCCAAUGGGGAUAUUAUUGUAGGAAUUCAGUUUGCUGCCCGAUUCACUGAAAACCGAAAUUUCAUCAGAGGUUGUGCAAACUCAGACUAGUCCCUCUAUACCAGGGAGUACCAACUCAGGUCUAGGCUCUCUAUACCAGGGAAUACAAACUCAAGCCUAUGCCCUCUAUACCAGGGAGUACCAACUCAGGCAUAGGCCCUCGAUACCAGGGAGUACCAACGAAGUAUAUGAUCUAAGUAUUUCAUCUUUUAAACAGUUAUUUUUUUAUUCUCAAUUCGACAAUAACAUUUCACCAGGUACUUCGAAAAGCAAUAUAGCUGAUAUACCUUGGACAAUUAUCAGAAACAAGCAAUGAUAAGAAUAUAGGUAUAUGUAAUUGCAUAAUGGCAAUACAAUAUGUUAACAAAAAACGAGGUGGUAUAUUGAUUUUAAUCCUUUAAAGUAUUUGCUGUCUGUAAACAUCAUCGUUUGCUAAAGAUAUCAUUCGUGUGGAUUCACUGCGGAUAUCGAUAUGUAACGAUCGUGUUAUAACAGUUUGAUAUCGUCCCUGAAUCCGAUUUUAACACAAUAUGAUCAGAAGUGUGUAACAUUAAUUAAAAAAAAAAGAUACGUUAGUUAUUUUACGGAUUUUAUGGUUUCAUUUUGUUUCAACCGCAAGGGAUAAGGUAAGGUUUCUGUCUUUAUAAUCGACAUGACUAUCAUGUUUCAAUAUUUUCAAAUACAAGUAUGCAUGUACCAACAUAUGGAUGUAACUAUGAAAACAAAUGUUUUCAAAUAAUCAUGUAUUAGUGAAAAAAUAUUUUAAUAUAUUUAUAUAUAUUUGUUAAACACUGCAAAUAAACAAGCAUUUCUCUUUCAGUAUAUACACACACGAAUAAGACGAAAUAUAAGCCGUAUUAAAAUGUAUCUAUCCAGUAACAAAGUAUAAAAAUGUUGUCGAUUUAGUAAGCUUUUGUUGUUGAUUUUAAUGGUUGACUAGUUUUGUAUUUGACAUCCUGAUAGCUUGCAAAUAUUGCAAUCCCCACCCUUCUCGUACCUGUGGAAUGGUUGUCGGAUCAAACAAUUGUCUGUAUGGUUAUCAUUGUAUUGGAGGUCCUGCUGAUGAAUAUUUUGCCUGUUGUCCAAAUGCUGCCUAACCCAACUCAAUAAUCAGCUACAUUGGUAUGUCUAAAGUACAUCGUGAUGUUGGAGAAAAGAAAUGUUAUUAUAGAUGUAAAGAUCUUAUUAACUGACUGUUUUAUCGACAACAAUGUAUUAUAUCAACCAUUACAUUGCUUAAAAAACUAGAUUUUCAAUUAGACGAAAGGAUGUGUCAGUCCUGCUUGACGUAUCAAAGUCCAGACGUUAUACCUCAGUGCAUAUAUUGUAAAGAGAACGAAAUAUAGCCAUUUACAUGACUUCUGGUUUUACAUGUUUUAUUUGAGGCUUGCAAUGAAGUGACAUUACUCGACAUAACCAAUCUAUUUGAACGUAUGUGGGCAAUUUGCAUUGAAGCAUGACGGAGGGGAUCAUAGAUUGCGUGAUUCUUUUGCUCGUUGAAUACACAUACUUUGUUGGAAUAAAUGUUAAUUUAAA
Long non-coding RNA from Mytilus californianus (California mussel), 1757 nucleotides. RefSeq lists it as uncharacterized. The transcript is spliced from 4 exons. Lineage: Eukaryota; Metazoa; Mollusca; Bivalvia; Mytilida; Mytilidae. The record is from RefSeq and is a predicted model, not a curated record.